Melozone crissalis (California towhee) is the source of this 509-nucleotide long non-coding RNA. RefSeq lists it as uncharacterized. The transcript has 3 exons. Lineage: Eukaryota; Metazoa; Chordata; Aves; Passeriformes; Passerellidae. The record is from RefSeq and is a predicted model, not a curated record.
CACGGAGCCCCCGCUCUCAUCCCGGCCAUCCAAGUGGAUCACGUCCUGACCAUCCUGAGGGAAUUCCUGCAGGAAUUUCCCAAGCUGAGGGACGAGGGGCCCCCCAGGGAACUCCAGGACGUGCGGGACAAUUCCAGGGACGGGGAAUACUGGGAAGCCAUGACCCGCAUCAUUCCCCAGCGCAAACUCAAGCUUUGGGACGCGCUCGGAGCCGCGCUCGUGGAAUACCACAAAGUGCUGACCCGGAGAUCCGAGCUGUUUUCCGAGGCCACGGCCCUGCAGCGGCAGAACGCGGAGCUGGGAAUGCUGCUGGAGGAAUAUUUGGGAUCCGCGCAAGGCGGGUGCCCCUGAGCUCAGCCUGGGGUUCCCGGGGAUAUUCCGGAAUAUUCCGGACGCGGAUCCCACCGGGAUGGAGCAAAACCCGGGGAUCGCCGGUGCCGGGUGUGGAUCUGCCUGGAUCUGAGCCAGGAAUUCCUGGCAGGGGUUAAUAAAUCAUUCCCAAACCGGGA